GUGUGCUCAAAAAAUCUCCUAGAAUCCAAGGAGAGAUAUAAUAGCACAUGGAUAGUUGAAUAUGAGCACUACACUGUAGUUUAGCAUCUUGAGAUGGACGCGUGUCAAAAUUUGGAUGCUUAGGAGUUAGGAUAUUGGUUUCGCAAAAUUUGAUCCAUCAUGACCCGUCAAUUCUCGGGUUCAACCAGCGAAGAAGGGGUAAGAUUCCGUACUGAUUUUUGUCGGAUGAUGGCAUGUUACCUUGAACAAUUUAUAGCUUU
Molecule: unclassified non-coding RNA, 260 nt
Filed under: Hevea brasiliensis (rubber tree)
Lineage: Eukaryota; Viridiplantae; Streptophyta; Magnoliopsida; Malpighiales; Euphorbiaceae
Source: RNAcentral